GGUUGGAUCAUUACUGAAAUUUCGGUUCUUUUGAACCGUUUCAACCUCUGUGCUAUUGUGAUUGUUUCUGGGUACAUUUUUUGUACCCAAAAAUGUUAAACCAUUUUUAUUAUUAUUGUCUGAUCUUUUUAUUAUAUAAAAAAAAAACAACUUUUGACAACGGAUCUCUUGGCUCUCGCAACGAUGAAGAACGCAGCGAAAUGCGAUACGUAGUGUGAAUUGCAGAAUUCCGUGAAUCAUCGAAUCUUUGAACGCAAAUUGCACUCUGUUUCGGCAGAGUAUGCCUGUUUGAGAAUCUAUAGUAUUCUACUUUUAAAGUGAUUUGACCAAUGUUUCAAUGAAACUUGGUUUAAAACUAUAGAUUGCAGUACCUAUAAAGUGUACAAUGCUCUAGCAAUGAAGGGUUCGCCCAACUUGGCUUUUGCAGUGCUUCACACGAUAGGGUUUGAACUUUCGAGUUCUCUUUAUUGCAACACCCCAAACACAAUUUUGAACCUUGGUCUCAAAUCAGGCAGGAAGACCCGCUGAACUUAAGCAUAUCAAUAAGCGGAGGAAAAGAAACUAACAAGGAUUCCCCUAGUAACGGCGAGUGAAGCGGGAACAGCUCAAAUUUGAAAUCUCAGUGGGUUACCACUGCGAAUUGUAGUUUAGAGAAGCGUUUUCGGGGGCAGCCUAGGUACAAGUUCUUUGGAACGAGACAUCAUAGAGGGUGAGAAUCCCGUCCAUGAUCUAGAGUCUGCUCCUAUGUGAUACGUUUUCCAAGAGUCGGUUUGUUUGGGAAUGCAGACCAAAAUGGGAGGUAAAUACCUUCUAAAGCUAAAUAUUGGCGAGAGACCGAUAGCGAACAAGUACCGUGAGGGAAAGAUGAAAAGAACUUUGAAAAGAGAGUUAAACAGUACGUGAAAUUGUCAAAAGGGAAACGCUUGGAACCAGUAUUGUCUUUGGGAAUUUAGCUGUUCUUUUGAGCAGUGAUUUUCCCAGUGACGAGUCAACAUCAGUUUGACUUGGGUGAAAAAGCCUUGAGAACGUAGCCCUUUUGGGUGUUAUAGCUCAAGGUCAUAACCUGGGUUGGACUGAGGAAUGCAGCGAUUUUGGGGAACCGGUCGCCUUGAGGUGAAGUUUAGUGACUGCUUGCAGAUGCUAAGCGUAAGCUGAGAGUACGGCCGGUGUACCACACCAACGCUUAGGAUGUUGACGAAAUGGUUUUAAACGACCCGUCUUGAAACACGGACCAAGGAGUCUAACAAUUAUGCGAGUAUUUGGGUGGUAAACUCUUAUGCGCAAUGAAAGUGAAAAGGUGGGAUGCUUUUUGCUGCACCAUCGACCGUGCUAGAUUAUUACUAUCUUGGCAUGAGUAUGAGCAUAUUUGUUGGGACCCGAAAGAUGGUGAACUAUGCCUGAAUAGGGUGAAGCCAGAGGAAACUCUGGUGGAGGCUCGUAGCGGUUCUGACGUGCAAAUCGAUCGUCAAAUUUGGGUAUAGGGGCGAAAGACUAAUCGAACCAUCUAGUAGCUGGUUCCCUC
RNAcentral lists this unclassified non-coding RNA (1522 nucleotides) under uncultured fungus. Its description in RNAcentral is "sequence contains 18S rRNA gene, ITS1, 5.8S rRNA gene, ITS2, 28S rRNA gene". The stretch from base 498 to 1522 matches the Rfam family "Eukaryotic large subunit ribosomal RNA", at positions 1 to 961 of the family's 3401-position model. Lineage: Eukaryota; Fungi. The record is from RNAcentral.